Molecule: long non-coding RNA, 8846 nt
Organism: Vespa velutina
Lineage: Eukaryota; Metazoa; Arthropoda; Insecta; Hymenoptera; Vespidae
Exons: 2
Source: RefSeq, a predicted model, not a curated record
GCUAAAUGCGUCGUUCGAUAUUCAAGAUUCAGGCGUGUGUGAGAGAGAGAGAGAGAGAGGAGAAGGCGUCGUUUGUACGAUUGAAGAGGCCAGAAACAUGGCAUGAUCGUUGUCGUUGAGGAAGGAAAGGACGUUAGACGAAUGUCGUCGUCGUCGUCGUCGUCGUCGUCGUCGUCGUCGUCAUGGUUGUCCUCCAUUGUCCUGGCUCUGCAUGGCUCUCCUCGUUAAAGCGUCCUUAACGAUCGCUCUUCAACGACGAGUCCUGCCUGUCGUCGAAAUCGUCGUAUCGUCGAUCUUAACGAGACUCCUAGUUUAUCUUCCAGCCACGCUCCUCGUCUCUGACUCGUGAGAGCCAACCCAAAUCGAUUCAUCGCUAUCAUUGAAGUUUUAUUCGGAGAACAUCGUCAACAACAAUUUUCCUAAGAGUUUUAUCGCCAACUUUUUUACGAAAUCGCAAAAAUUCAUCGAUCUCCGAAGGGAGAAGAAAAUGAAAGGACAUUUUCUGAACAUAGUACCCCAAUGAGACCUUUGGAGCGGGGAUGGUCCGUGAUGGUCGAGGAGAGAAAGGGAAAAAAAGAAUAGGAAAGGAGAGGAAAGGAAAGAAAAGAAAAGAAAAGAAAAGAAAAGAAAGGAAAGGAAAAGAAAAGAAGAGAGAGAGAGAGAGAGAGAGAGAGAGAGAGAGAGAGAGAGAGAGAAAAGGAGCGAGGAAAAAAGGAAGUAUAAGAAUACAGAACGGUGCUGUGCAUAUGUGGGUGGGCAUUCUUCGUGUAGAGGAGUGAAGAGGGUAAGUUGAGAAAGAGAGGUGGUACUACCAGAUUGCAAGAAGCCGAGGCUGGCCAAGGCCAGAACGUCGCGGAGCCGAGCCGGAUUAUUUUUAGCGCUUCCUACUAUUGUGCAAAGCACAAGUAGUCUGUCAAGCGUCUAGGGAUUCGCUUUAACGGGGGAGUCCACCGUUAGAUUUUACACUCCCCUUCCUACUCCUCUUUUACGACGAGUAGUCACUACUACUCGAUCUAUCGAUGAUGACUGCCGUUCGCUAUAGAUAAGCUGAGACAUACGCAUUGGAUCAGAUCGCGCUUCUUCGAAAAAAAAUCGCGAAAGUGCAGACGCUCGAAAGAAUCACGUUAUGCAACUAUUCGAUCGACGCGACGUGCAUAGAACGAGGAAAGAAUGAGAAAAGAACGAGGAAAGAACGCCCCGCACGAGUCUAUCGGAUCUGUUAGAAACUUCAUGAAGGAUUCUACGUACGUUCCCAACAACGCAGGGAUGCGUCUAUCCUUGAAAGCCAUAAAUAUUCAACCGGUAUACUAUUUCAAACGAUGUACGUAAUACGGUACGUAAACGUCGCGAGAAUCCUAAAAGAGUAAAACCCAGAGAUACGUCGAAAAGAGAAAGAGAAAAAACGAAAGACUAUAAUUUUUCUUCGAGAAAUAUCCUGACGGGACUACUCUUAUCGCAAAACAAACGAAAGUAUUUCUUCGGCAUUUCGUUGGGCAUUCUUUCAGGAUUGAGCACCUCUGAUCCCAGAAGGAAAAAUCAAGGAAAGAAGAAAAGGAGACUCGUUUCUAGAAUAAAACGAGUACGAACGAAGAUACUCGAGAGAUUCCAUUCGACGUGCGGUAGCAGCACGUCGUCGAAUACGACGCAUGGCCUUAGCCUAGUUGCAGAAAAGGCCGUUCGCUCUGGACACGAUGAUGGCUACCACCACUACUAUCGCACGAUCAUUAUCGACGAUGACGACGACGACGAUGACGACGACGACGACGACGACGACGACGACGACGAGGAGGAGGAGGGGGGGGGAGGAGCAGGGAGAGGAGGAGGAGGAGGAGGAAAAGAAGGUUUAAGUAAAUCAACUAAUCAGUACCACGCUGAUGUCCCGCGUACGAGUUCGUGCUCUCCGACUUAUUUACUGGGAUAAACCGGCUGUUUAGACGGCAUCGUACAUGUCGUUUGAAAGACGAUGCUUCCAAGACCCUACACGACGAAAGAACGACUCCUAGACUCUUCAUUCUUAUAUUUCCUUCUUUAUUCUUCUCUCAUCUUUGUCAUUCUCUUUUCCGAUUUCAUUUUGCUUUUUUUUUUCUUUCUCUCUUUUUUUUUUUUUUUCCAAGCCCUUCCUUACAAUAGUAAUCGCGAGAUCAUUCGUUAGUCGCUGAUAACGAUGACGUUUUACAUGACAACGUGAUUUCGAUCGAAUCGCAUUAUUCGAAAACGAACAAACGAUAUCGACAAUGCAAAUAAAGUCAGACUUUACGUAACGCCCCGUCGAAACUAGGCGUCGUUGCUAAAGCCGCGAGACGAACGGGAGGCGUUUUUAAAAGAAAGAAGAUGGAAAAGAAAAAUGAAGAAAAAAAAAAAAGAGAGAGAGAGAGAGAGAGAGAGAGAAAGAAGAAACGAAAAAUGCCGGGCCCAACGACCUCCUUUUUUUUCUUUUUCUUACGCGAUAAGAAAACAUCCGUUCGAAGGAAAGUAAGAUUCGCGAUGACGUCCGUCAAAUUUCGCGAUAUUUCGGAACAAAAAAGUGAAUGCUCGUAUCGACGAGAUUCCUUCGAUCUCAAUCCGAUCGAUCGAUCGAAAAAAGAGGAAGAACGAUAAUGCGCGAGCUUACGUAAAUGUUUCUCCUUUCUAAAGAAGCUUCGGAUAUGCAUCUCUUUGUUCCUUUUGUCACGUACAAUGCUUUCGCCAUACAAACAUCGAUCGUUUUAAUUCUAACAAACUUGUACAUCCUUUCUUUUUCUUCCUUUUUUCUUUCUUUUGUUCCUUUUGCUCUCUUUCGCUUGUUUCGAUUAAACUUCGAACGUUUAAUCGUACUUCUUUCCGAAGGAAAAUAUUCAAGUACGUUCGUCGUUAACGAUCAACUAGUUAUUAUUGCGAUUGAUUCGCAAAGACAAAUUAACUGAUUAAGAGCAAUAAUUAAAAAAUUGAUCACUCUCUUUUGACGUAAGAAGGUCAAUGUGAAGUAAAAUUAUGUUAUCGUUAGAGAAAUUUCUCGAACGUUGAACGAUCGGUUAGAUAAAAUUUUCAUAAGACAGCGCGUUGGAACGCGCGAUGACUCGGUGGAUUCGCCAUGAUUUCCGGGAACGUCUUGUUUCUUACAUUGGAACUUGACACUCCUUGCCUGGAAGGAAGGCCACUCAGAGAAAAAGAGAAAAGGAGAAAGAAAAAAGAAAGAAAGGAGGAGAACGAGAAGAGGCCCGAACGUACAAGCCGAACGCGUGCGUGACGUUAUCGGCGAUGUGCUAAAGUCUCUCGUGGAGGCUGCCGUUGCUUCUGUCUCGUCGUUAAAGAGUACGUCCUUGACCAGUCGACAGGACGUACAGUUAUGUACCAAGUAGUUUUACGUAUGCUUUCGUCUCGCAGCUGUCCGUACACGAUACACGAUGUAUAUAUACCUACUGUUCUUUAUACGCCUGGAAGAGAUAUUAAAAAUUUGCCAUUUUUUCUCGGAAAUUGAUACCGAAAAUCGAUCCGAUCCAAUGAUAAGCUCUUACUUCGAUCGAUCUAAUUAAUACUACGUGCUAAUCUCUAACGCGAGCACUCCUAUACUUUGACAUUAUCAUUUCUUAAAUAAGAUAUUCGAUAUAAGUCUAAAGAGAUUCCAAACGAGCCAAACUAUUAAGUAUCUCCGAAAAUUCAUGAGACCUAUUUUAACUUUGCCGAGCAUCACGAUCUCACGUUUUCAGUGGGCGUUCUCUCGCAUGAACCAAAACGUAAACGCACAUAUUCAGGAAAAUAAUACGUCCGUUAUUUACGAAAUCGUUUAGAAUGGACCGUCUGACGACGGCGACGGCGACGGCGAUGGCGACGGCGAUGGCGACGGCGACGGCGACGGCGGCGCCGACGACGACGACGACGACGACGACGACGACGACGACGACGACGACGACAAACCUAAAAGGGGGCAAACCAGCAAGAGGGAACAACGGGCGAAAGACGACGUAAUACAAGGCAAUUGGCCUUGCGAGGUGAACGUACUACCGAACGAUUCGACAAGUAUGACGAUGUGAAGAGAGAAUAAGAAGGAGGUAUAUCGUACGGACAUUGCACUGGCACACCAAAACAAAAUUCGUUUAGUUCUGACUCACAAUCGGUACGCAAUUCGUCCUCUACUCAUUGGACGGUUUAAAUUCGUUGAUCGAUCGAAUCGUUAUUAAUCAUUGACUUUAUUCGACGAAUACGUAAUAAGCGAUAUUUCAUUAAUGCGCAUCUAAUGUAAUGUAGGUCUAAACCUACAUAAAACUAGAGUAAUUUAAUGACGAGAACUCCUAGAAAUAGAGACUCGGAAGAGAUGAAAUAAGAAAGAAAGGCGGAAAGAAAGAGAUCAUUGUUUCUCCCCCUCGUAGAGAAGCAAAGAGGUCAUACGCCUAAUUAUCCCACGGCCCGGGCACGAGCACGAAAUACAAGGAAUACAAAAGGGAAAGAGAAAAAAAUAAAAGGAGAGAGAGGGGUCAUACAACAACGAUGGAGGCUCGAAUCGGAAAAGGGAACGAACAAAAAAAGAGGACAGAGAGAGAGAGAGAAAGAGAGAAAAUGCUUGGCUCGUUCCAUCGCGAAGCACGCGCGACGAGCAACGAAGCUUAUCGUAAAUUAUUUCAAUGCACCUAACUCGCCUAACGUGCAGGGAGUAUUAUUUACGACGAGGGUCCUCUCUCUCUCUCUCUCUCUCUCUCUCUCUCUCUCCCUCUCUCUUUCUCGUUGUCGUUCUCUUGCUCUUUCUCGCGCACUGGGUGCAGCCUAGGCCGUCUCGGAUAGGGUAGGAUACGAUUACAUCACGGUGCAAACAGCCGGUAAUAGUGGCUCAAGGCUACUAUGCGCAUAUGCACAUGCAUGGCCGCAACGCCGGCUGGCCCACACGAACGCCUCCUGUUUAUUUAUUUUUUUUUUUUUUCUUUUUCUUUUCCUUUUUCCCUUUUCCUCUCUUCCCUAACGCUCGCGAGAAAGUCCUACUCCCCUCGAUUACGUGCAUUAAAGAUGCUUACAUAUUCUUAGAUUAUUUUUGCUUUCUUUUUUAUACUUGAAAUCAGAGUCUAGUUCCGAGUCAACUAGAUAUCCUUAUCGCUUAUAUACUUUUUAAACGAGCUACAAGUUGAAAAAUAUCAGACUCUUCCUACUAGGUUUAUAAUGAUUAUCGACAUGGAAAAUAAAUGUUGUAGCUCUUCUUCCCCGCUCUUUCCACGCACACACUUAGGCGAACGCAACGAUUUCGACGUCUGAAUGUAUUUUAAGAAGCCGACCGACGCAGGACUUAUCUUUAAUGACUCGCAGGGUCGAAAGUGCAACGCGUCCUCGAGUUAUAUAAAACCCUAUACCGUCUGAAAUCUUUCCUCGGUUGGGAUAUCUCUUCGAAAACAAACAGACGCACACAACGAUCUUAGAGGUCUUUAUCUUCUCACGCAACGUACAUACCUUUAUAAUUUUAUCGGCCGAUAACGAAGAAUGAAAAUUCGACAUACACGUAAUUUCAUUUACUCGUACGAUCGUCGUCGUAGUCGUCAUCGAACGAACACGUGAAAAGAAAAUAAUGCGUGGGCUUGCGCCAACGUUCUCGUGUCUCUCUUUUUCUUCUUCUAACACUUGAAAUAAAUCAUGUUAAAAUACGAUACAAAUACUCGGUUUCGUCUCGGACUGUUACGGAAGAGAUCGUUGAUUUUCUUCUUCUCCGUUUUCUCACUUUUCUUUUUUUAAAUUAUAUCAGAUUGAUGCAAUGACAAUUUCCUCGGAUAUUAUUUUGACAAAUAAUAUCAGAGAAGUAGGCAAGUGUAUUUUUCACUCAAAGAAUGUUCUCAGGGUUUAACUUUGCAAAAACAUUACAUUAACGUUUGUGGAAAAAUUGAGACAGCUUUCGAUAAAGAGCUUAGGCCCGAUUUUUCUUCUUAAGGAAUUGACAUCUUUUUUUUCGUUCCCACAUUGAAGAGAUUCUUUAAUCGAGGCCGUUCAGAAGAGUUUGUAAUAACGAGGACACAGGUGCCGAGCGCAACGCGUUGCGUGUAAUCGUGAAAAAAAAAGGAUAAUCGUGGCGAGACGAUACGCAUAAUCCAAACUAGUUCUCAUCGAUCAUUCGGCACGUGUAUUUCUCACUUGUGUCGAGAGAUAGAAGUCUGCUUUAAGAAAGAGAGAGAGAGAGAGAGAGAGAGAGAGAGAGAGAGAGAGAGGAGGGGGAGAGAGCGAGAGAUAAAUAAACCAGUCGCAAGAAUGUUGCAGAGCAACUCGCAUGAUUCGUGUUGCCUAAGCCAGAUUUAUUUACGUCGUAGGGGCUACAUACAUAAAGAGUGUGAGAGAGAGAGAGAGAGAGAGAGAGAGAGGGAGGGGGGAAAAGAUACGUGUAAUCUAACGUACGAUCAUCGGUUCGAUCGUAAAAGGAAAGGAAGUCUCGCCAAUAUCGAUAUAUCACGAUCAACGCGUUGCCUUGGAACGAGAUUCUGAUUUUAUUUUGAAAAAGUUCGAAAUGUCUGUAGUAAGAGAGAAAGAGAGAGAAAGAGGUUUAUUAAUAUCUAUAGUAAUAUCGUGAAAUAAUAAAUGUUAAGUAUCAUAAUAAUACUUGUAAUGCAAAAUAAUAAUUAUUAACUAACGAACGACACGAAUAAUAAAAUAAUUAAAUAAUUAAUACAUCAUAAGAAAAAAAAAAAACGUGUCUCUGUGUUUCUGUUUCAAGAAGUUAUUUAUAAGCGUUAAACUUGUUAAAGGAAAUAAAAGAAAAACAAAUAGACCGUAGUACUUGGACCUGUUCGUUAUUAAUAGUCGAUGUCGAUCGGAAUUGAUUAGAUCGAAAGAACGCGUUUGAUUUUUCAUCUUGAGAUGACGACCAAGCCAGUUUCGAGAACGCAUUCGAUCGUAUCUCGCGAUAGGCGUUAUUAGCAUCUUCGUUAUUAUUAUUAGUCACUGAUAAAAGUAAAGUAAUUUCCGGCGCGAACGUAAAAGCUAACAACGACAUUGUCGACGUUGCGACGUAAUUCGCUACCGCGCCAGAAGCGAACAUUUUUUCUGUCUGCCGAACGUCUCGACGUAACUCGGUAUUAUAUAUAUAUACAUAUAUGUAUCUACGAGCGAUCCUGACUUCUCUUCUUUUUGUUAUUGCUCUUGUUAAAUGCGUCAUUCCAUUUUGUCUAAUGAAAACACAUAUCUGAACUACCUGAAUCGAUCAGAAGAUUAUAUUCAUUCAACCGGUUGAAAUAUUUUGUAUCGAAAAAAGAGACAAAUCCUUUCGAAAUUUCGACGCGACGACGUCGCAACGCUCUCUCUCUCUCUCUCUCUCUCUCUCUCUCUCUCUUUCUCUCUAAAAACGAAGAGAAGAGUUACGCUGACGAAAGGCACGUAGGAGCUAGUGCGAGCCAGCUUUCGAAUUCCAUUUCGCGGUCCGAGGAGAGAGAGAGAGAGAGAGAGAGAGAGAGAGAGAGACAGAGAGGGAGGGAAAGGGAGAGAGAGCGCACACGCCGUGCCGUUUGUUUAUCCGUUUGUACACCCUUUUAAAAAUAGGCUUUCAUUCAAGGAUCCCGGCCAGACGCGAGCCAGACAUUCGACAGCACGCGUACAGAUAGCUUCUGCUAUUUCGUCACGCUCGUCUUCUCCUCGCACGUUUCGCCGCUCUCUUUCGACGCGCGUUCUCAUCUCAGUUGUGUGUGUGUGUGUGUGUGUGUGUGUGUGUGUAUGCGCGCGCACGCGCUUCAAUAAAGUGGGACGACAAAGAAGAGACAACAAACGAGCCAAUGACGACACGUUCGAACGACCUCACAUCUUAAUCGUGUCUACGAAUUAGAUGUUUUUCUCAUUUUAUGCUUUUUUCAACAUCGGUGUUGAUCCCAUCCGAUGAAUUAUUUGCGAGUACACGUUUGCUUUUAUCUCUCUUUCUCUCUCUCUCUCUCUCGUUUGCCUCGCACUUUGUGUGCAAACAAACUGUGCGCGUGUAUGUGACGCUCGAUGCGUACACGCGUAGUGGAAGAAGGAAAAACAAUGUCUGACGCGGCGACGUGAACAUGGGAAAGUGUUGGCUCGUGUAUGAUGCGGGUAUGUAGGUGGGUAUAUACGUGCCGAUGUCGUCGAUCGACGUGGCCGCGCUACGAUAAAUAUGGUAGACAGUGAGAGAGAGAGAGAGAGAGAGAGAGAGAGAGAGAGAGAGAGAGAGAGAGAGAGAGAGGAAACGAAAGAGUGAGGAAAAGAAGACAGGUAGAAUUGGAGAGACACGUAGAGACAGUUAUACGGAAAUCAAAGAGAGAGAGAGAGAGAGAGAGAGAGAGAGAGAGAAAGAGGACAGAGAACAGGAAGACAGAGAAUUCACAGACGGAUGCACAGAAAAAGAUAGGAAAUAGACACGGAGAGAUGGACAAAGAUAGAAAAUUAGAGAGGAGGAUAUAAGCGUACAGAAACAAAAGAAAAACAAUGACAUGAUACAAAGCAGAGACGCAAAAAUAUAAUUCUCUUUUGCUAGAGAUAUUAUGAAAAUGAAAACUCUUUAGGAAGCUAUCGAAAGAGAUACAUUUCACUCGGGUAUCUCCUCCUCGAGAGUUAACAUCGUUGCUCACAGAGAGGAAUAAUCCGGUGUUUAGACGAUGGGAUCCGAUUUUGUGACAGGCUGUAUACACGCAGCGAGCUUAUUUUUGUUUAGUCUGCUCGCCCGAAAGCGCUGCCACCGCACUCGGAAUUACGUACAGGUACCACACAAUCCAUCCUCUCUCUUUCAAAAACAGAUGAAAGGCAUUCUUUCCUACUAUUAGACAUCGCAACAUGGAAUUCAUGAAUCUAUUAGCUAGUUAUAAUAUUUACCCUCAUAAUUGAAAACUUUCAAGACAAAGACAGAAAGAGGGAGGGAGAGAGAGAGAGAGAGAGAGAGAGAGAGAGAGAGAGAGAGA